GGUUAACCGUAUAGGGGAGCCGGAGGGAAACCGAGUCUUAACCGGGCGUUAAGUUGCAGGGUAUAGACCCGAAACCCGGUGAUCUAGCCAUGGGCAGGUUGAAGGUUGGGUAACACUAACUGGAGGACCGAACCGACUAAUGUUGAAAAAUUAGCGGAUGACCUGUGGCUGGGGGUGAAAGGCCAAUCAAACCGGGAGAUAGCUGGUUCUCCCCGAAAGCUAUUUAGGUAGCGCCUCGUGAAUUCAUCUCCGGGGGUAGAGCACUGUUUCGGCUAGGGGGCCAUCCCGGCUUACCAACCCGAUGCAAACUGCGAAUACCGGAGAAUGUUAUCACGGGAGACACACGGCGGGUGCUAACGUCCGUCGUGAAGAGGGAAACAACCCAGACCGCCAGCUAAGGUCCCAAAGUCAUGGUUAAGUGGGAAACGAUGUGGGAAGGCCCAGACAGCCAGGAUGUUGGCUUAGAAGCAGCCAUCAUUUAAAGAAAGCGUAAUAGCUCACUGGUCGAGUCGGCCUGCGCGGAAGAUGUAACGGGGCUAAACCAUG
RNAcentral lists this ribosomal RNA (546 nucleotides) under Salmonella enterica subsp. enterica serovar Oranienburg. Its description in RNAcentral is "partial 23S ribosomal RNA". It matches the Rfam family "Bacterial large subunit ribosomal RNA", at positions 644 to 1191 of the family's 2925-position model. Lineage: Bacteria; Pseudomonadati; Pseudomonadota; Gammaproteobacteria; Enterobacterales; Enterobacteriaceae. The record is from RNAcentral. RNAcentral also lists the same sequence under 1 other name.